This 467-nucleotide ribosomal RNA is filed under the name uncultured bacterium. Its description in RNAcentral is "partial 16S ribosomal RNA". It matches the Rfam family "Bacterial small subunit ribosomal RNA", at positions 28 to 507 of the family's 1533-position model. The record is from RNAcentral.
GACGAACGCUGGCGGCGUGCUUAACACAUGCAAGUCGAACGGUAAGGCCCUGCUUUUGUGGGGUGCUCGAGUGGCGAACGGGUGAGUAACACGUGAGUAACCUGCCCUUGACUUUGGGAUAACUUCAGGAAACUGGGGCUAAUACCGGAUAGGAGCUCCUGCUGCAUGGUGGGGGUUGGAAAGUUUCGGCGGUUGGGAUGGACUCGCGGCUUAUCAGCUUGUUGGUGGGGUAGUGGCUUACCAAGGCUUUGACGGGUAGCCGGCCUGAGAGGGUGACCGGCCACAUUGGGACUGAGAUACGGCCCAGACUCCUACGGGAGGCAGCAGUGGGGAAUAUUGCACAAUGGGCGGAAGCCUGAUGCAGCAACGCCGCGUGCGGGAUGACGGCCUUCGGGUUGUAAACCGCUUUCGCCUGUGACGAAGCGUGAGUGACGGUAAUGGGUAAAGAAGCACCGGCUAACUACGUG